CCCUGCCGUCCUCGCUAACUAUUCUAAUCAUAAACAUUAUAUUUUCCCCUUCAAAAAGUGUGCAUUCCACAUUCGAAAUAAUUCGAAUAAUUUGUCCAAAGGGAUUGUAUUGCGUUUCUUAAUCGGUAGCUCCACAGGACCGGUUAACCUGCAAGUUUGUACUGUGUUUAGUAUUUACAUUAUAACACGUUCACUCGCUUAUCUAACGUUGUGAGAAACACACGUGUGAGACCGGACAGUGAUAGUGUGACAAGUGCUGCGAAGUGUGAUGCGGUAGCGAUUCUCUCGACAUGGAAAGCGCGGUGCAUGCGGCAGUGCCGCUGCGGGUUGGGAAAAAAAUGCGUAAGCGACGGGAGUUGGACGCUUUAGUGGGAGGUGGUGGUGCGCGAGGGGGAAGACUUCUCUCAGCGUCUAGUGACGAAGGAGAACCAUGGGCAAGGCGUGCUACCCGACGCCGUCGUUCUCGCCCUUUCGUUCGCCUGGCAGCUGCAUUGGCGCUGUGCGUAUGCGUCGUGUCAGCUGCGACCGUAUUAUGGCUCUUCGUGGAUGUGCGGAGACAGAUCGUUUCGCUCAGGAUUGAAAUGGACAGAGUGACAACAACAAACCAAGGUGUAGGUGACGCUCUACAAAUAUACCACACCGCAGCCAAAGAGCUACGCGCAAACGCCACAGAACUGAACGAGCGUUUGUCAAAAUUGGAACAUGAACAUCAGGAACUAGCGAAGAAAGUAGAACAAGCAAUAAAGAAACUAAUGUCUGUGUCCGAUCAACUUGACGCAGCGCCUGAAAUCAGUAAGACGCCGAAACUUGUCGGCGAAUUGCAGAUAACUAUCGCUGAUCUGGGAUCGCAAAUGAGAGGUUUCGACAGUGCAAUAGCGACAGCUCGAAAACAAGCAGCAACAGCCACAUCCGGCUUAGAAGAAGUAAAGACUUUACUUCAACAACUAGAGGCUCGUACCAACGAGACUAUUGCCAGUGUAUUAGCUAAUACGAAGAGAGAGAACGAGAUCGAACUGCAAGUUCAAGCUGUGAAUAACACUCUCGAUACUAAGCUAGAAACGUUGAGGACCAGAGUUGAAGUAAUGAAGCCGGAAACCACACCGGCCCCAUCUACCACGACGGUCACCACUCCCAGUAACACCUCGUCGUCAACCACGUCAUCGACCACCACCACUCCUCCCCCACCUCCUCCGGGACCGCCCGCAAAGCCGAACGUACUGCAAUGAGGGAACAAAUCAUUCUUGCGCUCGCGAGGUUGACUGGAUUGCUCACAUGAUCUCACGACACGUCCACAAGACAAAUAUACGGUCCAGUUUUGAUUAGUCAGCGAUAUUUUACUGGUGACGGAGCUCGUGGUGCAAAAAUAGUCUGUUUAUUAGGCUAAUUAUUAGUCCAUUACAAAUACUCCAUGGUAACGAGACUUAGUUCCGUAAAUACGAUUUCAUUUGUGGAACAGACUCCCUUCCCAUAUCCAGUCUAGCCCGUUCCGUAACCGAUCGAUCGCUUCUUUCAAGAAAAGGUUGACAGCGCGCUUUCUUGCUGAACUUUCUUCGUAAUCAUCUUAUUGUUUUUUUUACAUAUAGAUAUUGUAUGCUAUUUAUUACGGUUAAUUGUAAUACUUAUGUAACGGCAUUUUAUUUUCAUUUAUGUAGUUUAUUGUAUUCUCUUUCAUUCUCUCUUGCACGUUGUUGCCCGCUUAUAAUCUUAGCUUUCACUGCCCUGCGAUGUGUGGAAGAGAUUUAUUUUAGAGAUAAGUCCACCUUUGCUCACCGUCUGUUAAAUUAAAGUUUCUGUUGUAUUUAUUUGGUGCAAUAAAAAAUAUUAAUAAGAUGCAAUCGAGCAAUCGACAAGUCUGCAUUUAUUUUUUCGUCACAACUUUAAAGAAAUCUUCGAUAUUCAUUUUGUGAAUCAUGAUAUUAUAUUUAUGUUUACUAUCUAUUUCAUUCAUUAGGCACAAAUAUGUCUUGGACAUUAUGUUAGAAAGAUUUAUAUCUACGUCCAAAGUGACGGCAUAGACAAUAUAAAAACCGGCGUCAUGAAGUUUUACUAAUUGACCAAUAUCAAACGUGAAAGGAUCACUUAUUUAGCAGCAUUGUUCAACGGCGUGUCAUACGAAUGGCAUGUUCUAAUAUGGAAUGACAUUCUGAUAACACCACCCGACGAUGUAAAUGUCUUCUAAUACAAAAAUUUUGUCAUUAGGGCGCCUUCAUCAUCUAUGUUGUAAGAGUGCUGCAGUAGCGCCAUUUUUGCAGACUAGAUAUUGCAUGAAAAUUAGUAAUGGCGCGGUUGCCGCACUAUAGACGUCUAAUUUGAAGGCGCCGUUAGUAUGAACGCGGCAUAAUCGUACUGACAUAUGUGGCGUAACCCUAAGGUUGCAAUAAAAAAUGCCGAGUGAGAACUCGAUACCAAUGUAAAUAUUUAAUUAUAGAUUAAUUAUAACUUUUUAAUGAUAUAUAAUGAGGGAGGAAUAAUUAAUGUAUGUCACAAUUACUGGCUGUAGUAAGUUCUUGAAGCUUUUUAUGUUUUCGUUUUGCAGAGAUCUGUCAACUUUUACACAUUUAUAAAACCUUGUACAAUUAACCACAUAUUGAAGCACAUUAUAGAAAUCGCAUAAUUUGUAUGUUGAACAAAGUCCUGCCAACUUUCUAACGGGGUGCAUUAACAAAGUGCUCAUGUAGGGUUACACUCCACCAAAUAGCACGCAUCAACACCGUCCAUACUAAAUAUGUAUUUUAUUUGGAACAUUUGUGCGAUUGAUUAUACAAUUUUGAUUGAUUACUGACACACUUAUCGUGUGGCCCAAUGUACUUGAAUCUAUUUUUUCUGCUAUUCUUCUGUCCUAUAUUUUUUAUGAUUGAAUUAUGCAUUUUUAUUUGUUUAUAUUUUCUACGGUCAGUAAUUUUGGUACACUACAACGUGGUCGCACCGAGUGUUACAAUAUUGUAUGGAGAGUGUGUUUUAUUACUGUAAUAAAUUAUUGUUAAUAGAUCAAUUAUUACACUAUGUCUUGUUUCAUUUUAAACUAACUGUAUAAGAAGAACAAAAAAUUAUUUUAUUGAUUAUUUACGUCAUCAACAGACACAAAAUGUUACUCAAUUACAUACAUUCAAAAAAUAAAGGUGCUUUUCCACCGGCGGUGCAAGACGAGGAUUGAAAUUUGUAUGGCAAUCAAUUCUGUCCUAACGCAUCUUCGCUAAAAAUUAUCUGGAUGGGCGAGACGAGAAUCAUAAUAUUUAUUGGUGUAAUAUUGAACAGUAUUGCUGCCUACGAAUAGUUAAUUGAACUCUGCCUCGCACUGGCCCGAGUGAUCAAUCGUAAGAUUGUGAGGUACGUACGAUUUAAGAUAUAAAAAAUGUGGCUUUUCUGUAAAUAAUUGUAGAGUUCCCUGUAGUCGAAUUUUUAAAUUUAUCAACCAAGUGCUUUAUAGGUAUUUUUUAAUAUUUUUAUUUACUAUCGACAACCCCACCUCUCAAUGGCUGUUAAUGUCAACUCGCGAUGGUUAUUAAUGGCAUUUCUCAUCUCGUCGGUGGAAAAGCAAUUUAAUGGUGACAAAUGAAAGUAUAACUCUUACUACAUAGAACAAAAUUUAAAAGAACUUAUUUCUUGUAUAGACAGACACGAACAUUGUUGUCUAUAAACGAUACUAGCGCUGCC
RNA transcript from Hyposmocoma kahamanoa, 3654 nucleotides. It is a transcript of the gene named nuclear distribution protein nudE homolog 1-like, with no coding region annotated. The transcript has 7 exons. Lineage: Eukaryota; Metazoa; Arthropoda; Insecta; Lepidoptera; Cosmopterigidae. The record is from RefSeq and is a predicted model, not a curated record.